Long non-coding RNA from Panicum hallii, 3699 nucleotides. RefSeq lists it as uncharacterized. The transcript has 3 exons. The record is from RefSeq and is a predicted model, not a curated record. NCBI's taxonomy places the organism in Eukaryota, Viridiplantae, Streptophyta, Magnoliopsida, Poales, Poaceae.
CCUGUCUAAACCUUGUGUUGCUUACACCUUCGAGUUCCUGAUUUCGGCGAGACCCUACCUAAAACUCACCACCUCGGGUAUACCCCUCGAUGGGUAGGCGGUAAAACACCGACAUUCGGUUCAGUGAUUUCUGAUCAGUUUGGCCAGUAAUUUAAAUGUUGGUUGUAGAAUAACCGCUACACCUAAGGUGUAGAAUAGCGUUGCCGUUGUUAGUUCUUCUAAUUUUACAUAUUAAUAUAUUUUCCUAUAAACUUGGUCAAUGAUAGACAAGUCUGAAUGGGGACAACUAAAAUGACGUACAUAUUGGAAGGGGGUUAUAGAACAUCUCCAUACACUAACAGGCAACAAAACUAUAAUUACAACAAAACUAAACCCACAUUCACUGCAAUAGAGUGGGCAGACUAGUUUUUUUGGAUCAAGCAAAAAAGACUGAAGUGCAUACCCUCCCUGUUAGAGACUUAAUCUUGUCACGCUCCAUCACAAGCUCUUGUGACAUUGAUUCUUCCACACUUGAUAAUGUGAGGGAAGAACAUCAUUAACAAGCACCUUACUGCAGCUAGAUAAACUAGAAUAUUGGUUGACCGGAAAGAAGAUUGGCCGCCGGCGAUGCGCCGGCUGGACCGGCAAGAAGAUUGGCUAUCGCGGUGUGGGGACAGGGACUUACCAGCUGAAGUGCAAAUGUCCUCCAUGUUUUGGGGCAGAUGGGGAGGGAGCUAUUCUAGCCUCGCCGGCGGCGGUGGUCAAUGACUCAAUAGGUACAUCCUUGGGGAUGGUGAGUGGUAGCCUCGUAGGGGUGGUGGAGGAAGAUGAGACAGAAUUUAUUACUAUGCAGAAAUAAUUCUACUGAAUGACUGAGACUAAAAGGAUGGAAUGACUGAGUUAUUAUAGAAUGACUAAGUUUGUUUACUUCCUUUAUGUAUUUUGCAUAUUUUUGUAGAAUGCUGAAAUCACUAAAUGACUGCUAGAAUUCCUGAGGCCUAACAGAUGGAAUAACUGAGUUUGCAUGUUUCUUUUGUAGAAUGACUGAAAAUACUAAAUUACUGUUGUCUAUGUUAUUUCUUCUGAAUGACUGACGUUAAAAAGAUGGAAUGACUAAGGUCUAAGACAGAAUGACUGUUGCUGUCUAAGUUAUUUCUUCUGAAUGACUGAUGCUAAAAAGAUGGAAUGACUAAGGUCCAAGUCUAAGUAAGUCUACUGAAUGACUGAGACUAAAAGGAUAGAAUGUAUUUUAGCUUCAGUUAUUCAGACGAAUUACUGAGUACAUCCAGUCAUUUGUUAAAUUUGUACAAUCUCAGUCAUUCUAUCUUAGAGCUCAGUCAUUCCAUCUUUUUAGCAUCAGUCAUUCAGAAGAAAUAACUGAGUUCAGAUCGGACUAGUGCGAGUUCAGAUCUGUUCAGUUCAGAUUGGACUAGUGCGGAAGUUCAGCUCGGACUGCCGCCCGUCUCCCUCUCCGGCUACCUUCGCCUGCUCCACCUCGCCAAAUCUUCAGACAGGUCCGUUCUUUCCUUCUUGCCGCCGCCCGUCUCCUGUUGGGAAGAUGAGGGGAACGAAUAUCGGACCGCCGCCCGUCUCUCCUCUCUGGCUACCUCCGCCUGCUCCACCUCGCCGAAUCUUCAGACACAUCCGCCUCUUGUUGGGAAGAUGAGGGGAUGACGGACUUCGUAUUGGCGGAGAGAGAGAGGGCUGGAGCCUGGGCGACGGUGGCGGUAGCAAUAGGCAGCAGUAGCACCAGCAUUUUCAUCAUUUGCUCUAAACUGAACUUGCAUUGUUUGUGCUGAACUUUCAGAACUGAACUAGCAUGCUCCGAACUGAAAUUUCAUUGUUUGUGCUGAACUUUUUGACACUCUUAAGAAACCAAAAUAAAAAGUGGAGAAGAACGAUACACUUGACACAGUCAAGAUCAACAAAUUCAGUGGGCUCGCAAUGGAUGUUAGUGAUGGCAACAUGCUGACUGCAGGUGACACGAUUAUGGUUCACCUGCCAUGUAGUAUCAUGAAUUUUAGAUUUUCACUGAACUGAACUUGCAUUUUUUGUGUCAGAACUGAACUAGCAUGGUCUGAACUGAAAAUUCAUUAUAUGUGCUGAACUUUUUGACACUCUUAAGAAACAAAAAUGAAUCGUUUGUGUAGCAGUUUGCACCGGCAUUAAAAUGCUGCGCUCGAACAAAGAUGGCCAAACUCUUUUAAGGUGGAGACGAUCCCCAAUGAAUUUGAAACCUAGGCGGACUACACAGAAGCAUUUCGCAUCCAACAUUAGAGGAGAUCUGGCAUCAAAUCGACUCGGGCAUGGAUACCAUUCCCAGUGGCCUAUAUGUUGAUUGCUAUAAUAGGAAGCCAGAUAUUGGAAGCCUAAUAAUUACAAUAUCAAGCUCAAAGUACCAAAGGGGGAUCAGAUGCCAAGAAAAGGAGAUCUCAUGUUAUUAUCAGCAAGGGAAUUGAAAUGUAGAGACCAAAUAAUCAAGGACGGCUCCUUUUGUGCCAUCUUGGUGGUUAUAUCCGCCAAAACUGAUGAUAAAUCUGCCAAAGAUGAUGAUAAUUAUGAAGUAGAUUAUGUAGCAUCAAUGGAUAUCUUGCUAUCGCAGUGGCCAUAUGGGUGUCUGAAUCAGGAAACUUCCUACCAAGUUUUGCACCUGACUAAUAUGACAACUUGUGAAUGUAGUUGGGAAGUCAUGGUGAGAGGUUCCAAAGAGAGUUCACAAAUAAUCAAUCUCAUAUUGACUAAAAAUACUGAUGGAGAAUAUGGACAAUUUACAGAUAAAGAAAAUAUUUUUAAGGCUGCCUAUGAUGAUUUUGGAUUGAAUAAAUCAUAGAGUGAUGCAGUAGCAAGUUGCAUUUUAGCAACUAAAUGUUCUAAGAAAUCUUUUGUACAUCUAAUUUGGGGCCCACCUGGCACAGGUAAAACUAAAACAGUUUCAGUGAUUCUGCAUAUGCUUCUAAUGGUGGCAAGCAAACAUAGAACUCUUGUGUGUGCUCCAACCAACACAGCCCUUGUGCAAUUGGCUUCUCAUCUUGUUUCCCUAGACAAAAGGUCCACUGAGACCAGUUAUUUACUUGGCGACAUCAUUAUGUUUGGUAGUAACAAACUUAUGAAGAAGACUGAUAAUGACCUGUCAAAAAUAUUUUUGAAAUAUCGUGUUGCUGAAAUGUCGAAGAAAUCAUAUAAAAAUCAUAGAUAGCUAGAGGACAGCUGCUUGCGAGCUGCAAAACUUGUAUUUGCACUCCUUGUAUGUCCUCUAGGUUGAAAAAUCAGCAAUAUGGCAUCUUGGUUAUUGAUGAGGCAGCAAACUUAAAAGAAUGUGACUCAAUGAUCCCUCUCGCAAUCUAUGGGAUAAAACAUGUGGUGCUUAUCAGGGAUGACAAGCAGCUACAAUCAGUGGUAAUGAGCCCGGUUGCUAAAGAGAUUAAGUAUGGAUGAAGCCUCUUUGAGAGAUUGUGUGAAAUUGGUUACCACAAGCACUUGCUAAAUGUGCAAUAUAGAAUGCACAAUUACAUCAGCAGGUUUCCAAAUGCAAUUUUUAUGAUGGAAAAAUUAUAGAUGGCACAAACAUUGCGGGCUACAUUUUUUUUCAGUCAUAUUUUUGGUAACUAUUCAUUUAUUCAUGUUAAAGACGGUAUAGAAGAGCAAACUGGUCAGAGUUUAGUAAAUAUGGUUGAAGCUUCUGUAGCAGCCAGUAUUGUUGCCAGGCUCGCUGAAGGUAUA